UGUCAAAAGUGCGACCUAUGUUGCUAUGGUGACAAUGGAUACAUGGAAGGCUUGAGCUUGUCGUUACACUGCCACCUACAGGUUUGGCAUGCUCUUGUGUAUAUAUACACGGGUAAGUGUAAACGAAGAUCUUUUUGAAAACGGAGACGGUGAAAUGUCCGUUUAUGAAAAUAGCCGGCAACGUGUAAACGGCCUCAGAGUCUUCUGGUCUUCUGGCAGUUUUCUUUUUAACAUCGGUGAUGCAGAACAUAUCAGUAAGGCCACUGUAUGCAGAGCUGUGAGAAAAAUGAGACUUGCGCUGAAAUGUCUGCUAAACUUUUUUGUUGUGUUCCCUGGGCACAAACCUGUGAGCGUCAUCAAGGAGGAGCUCCACAGGAUUGCAGGAUUUCCUGGUGUGAUUGGCUGCAUAGAUGGAUCACACAUUCCUAUCACUGCUCCCUCACAAAAUGAAGGGGAUUAUGUGAAUAGGAAGUCCAUUCACAGCAUUAAUGUGCAGGAUCAUAUGUGAUGCAGCCCACAUCAUAACCAAUGUGGAGGCCAAGUGGCCUGGGUCUGUGCAUGACUCACAGAUAUAUCGUGAGUCUAAUCUGAGCAACAUAAUGGAACAUGGAGAGUUUGAUGGCUUUCUGCUGGGUGACAGGGGUUACCUAUGCCAGCCUACGUUACUGACCCCUUACCCUGACCCAGGCCCCCAACAGAACUUCAACCUGGCCCAUUGCAGGAUGACAUUAAAUUAUACAGUUGCACAUGAAUUCUACAGAAUUAACCUUUGGCAUUUACUGAACAUCUUACUGUGUGAAUCUGUGCUGUGGAGGUUAAUGGACCCUCCUCCUGCUGCCCAGCCAUGCUCUAUUAAAAAGGAUAAGAAUAUCUGUUAAUACUUAAGUGUACGGUAAAUGUCACUCUAUAAUCCACAAAAGAAUGUUAAGGAAUGUGAAUGGGGAGGAAACUAUCAGUAACAACAUCAAGAUGUUGGCCCCUCAGGCUCCCUCUCUGUGGCAGCAGACAAUGUGACAUCAUCAUCCCCAUCAUCCUGUGAAGAUGAGUGUUGUGUUUCAGUAUACU
Molecule: long non-coding RNA, 1065 nt
Organism: Epinephelus fuscoguttatus (brown-marbled grouper)
Lineage: Eukaryota; Metazoa; Chordata; Actinopteri; Perciformes; Serranidae
Exons: 4
Source: RefSeq, a predicted model, not a curated record